Molecule: ribosomal RNA, 254 nt
Filed under: uncultured bacterium
Lineage: Bacteria
Description: partial 16S ribosomal RNA
Rfam family: Bacterial small subunit ribosomal RNA
Source: RNAcentral
UACGAAGGGGGCUAGCGUUGCUCGGAAUCACUGGGCGUAAAGGGUGCGUAGGCGGGUCUUUAAGUCCGGGGUGAAAGGUCCAGCGCUCAACGCGGACAGUGCCCUGGAGACUGGGGGGCUUGAGUGUGGCAGGGGGGACCGGAAUUCCUGGUGUAGCGGUGAAAUGCGUAGAUAUCAGGAGGAACACCGGUGGCGAAGGCGGGUCCCUGGGCUAACACUGACGCUGAGGCGCGAAAGCGCGGGGAGCGAACGGG